This 829-nucleotide ribosomal RNA is filed under the name uncultured Rikenella sp. Its description in RNAcentral is "bacterial SSU rRNA". It matches the Rfam family "Bacterial small subunit ribosomal RNA", at positions 488 to 1319 of the family's 1533-position model. The record is from RNAcentral. Lineage: Bacteria; Pseudomonadati; Bacteroidota; Bacteroidia; Bacteroidales; Rikenellaceae.
UUUUUCNGCAAGAUCGUGCCAGCAGCCGCGGUAAUACGGAGGGUCCGAGCGUUAUCCGGAUUUAUUGGGUUUAAAGGGUGCGUAGGCGGGACUUUAAGUUAGUCGUUAAAUAGUGAGGCUUAACCUCGCAGUGGCGAUUAAUACUGGAGACCUAGAGAUUAGAUGCAGAGGGCGGAAUGUGUAGUGUAGCGGUGAAAUGCUUAGAUAUUACACAGAACACCGAUNGNGAAGGNAGCUCUCUAAUCUACAUCUGACGCUCAGGCACGAAGGCNUGGGGAUCANACAGGAUUAGAUACCCUGGUAGUCCACGCAGUAAACGAUGAUAACUCGUUGUCGGGCGAUAUACUGUUCGGUGACCAAGCGAAAGCGAUAAGUUAUCCACCUGGGGAGUACGUUCGCAAGAAUGAAACUCAAAGGAAUUGACGGGGGCCCGCACAAGCGGAGGAACAUGUGGUUUAAUUCGAUGAUACGCGAGGAACCUUACCCGGGCUUGAAAGUUAGUGACAGGCGGUGAAAGCCGCUCUUCCAGCAAUGGACACGAAACUAGGUGCUGCAUGGUUGUCGUCAGCUCGUGCCGUGAGGUGUCGGGUUAAGUCCCAUAACGAGCGCAACCCCUGUCGUUAGUUGCUAGCAGGUAAUGCUGAGGACUCUNACGAGACUGCCGGUGUAAACCGAGAGGAAGGUGGGGAUGACGUCNAAUCANCACGGCCCUUACNUCCGGGGCGACACACGUGUUACAAUGGAUGGUACAAAGGGUUGCAACAUANUGAUAUGAAGCUAAUCUCAAAAAGCCAUUCUCAGUUCGGAUCGCANGCUGAAACUCGCCUGC